RNAcentral lists this long non-coding RNA (1155 nucleotides) under Sus scrofa (pig). RNAcentral describes it as "lncRNA (ENSSSCG00045003951.1)". The record is from RNAcentral. Lineage: Eukaryota; Metazoa; Chordata; Mammalia; Artiodactyla; Suidae.
UGGGUGUAGCCCUAAAAAAAAAGCAAUAAAUAGUGCUGCAAUGAACAUGCGGGUGCCUGUGUCUUUUUUAAGGAAAGUUUUGUCCGGAUAUAUGUACAUGUAUGUGUAACUGGGUCACCAUGAUGUAGAGUAGAAAAAAAAUUUUUAUUGGGGAAAUAACAAUUAAAAAAAUUUUUAAGCAAUAAAUAAAUAAAAUUUAAAAAAUAAAAAACGGAGAUGAAAAUGUGUUAAUGUGCAUAUAUAUAUAUAUAUUUAUAUUUAUAUUUAUAUUUAUAGUCAUACAUUUGUUUCCUAACUCUGUCCACUGAAAGGUACUAGGAAAAGCAGCAGUAUCCCAUAUCAAAUCUUGUUUUUUAAAUUCCAUAGUCCACUAAAAGAAAUAAGGACUCCUUGGAGAAUUGACUGAUUCCUGCUCACUACAAGUAGAAAGAAUCCCUCUAACCUCUGAAUCCUCAUGGUGCUGUACAUUCAUUUAGUGGAAAUAACAGUACCCUGCUCUAUGCCAAGGCUAUCAGGGUUAUCUCUGUCAACACCAGUGAUUUUAGAGAGAAUGACAAAUAUAGAAGAUGUGGAAGACAAGUACUGGACAUGUCCUGAUCAAGACAAAUAUUGAAAGGAACACAAAUGGGAAAAAAUUGAUCCUAACUGGAAGCUAUAUGGCUGCCAUGAAAAUUAAAUCCUGGUGAGUUUCUCAGUAUGUGAACUAUUGUACUCUUACAGAGAAAUCUAGGCACAGGCUAGGACUGAGAUUCAGGACAGAAAAAAUGACCCAUAAUAGUUUAAAACCAUGAAACAGACAGUGAUGGAUAAUUCAUCUAAUAAUCCAAUUCGCCAAGUGUUACAUACUUAAGUUCUAAGUAAAGGAACCACUGAACUAGAAUGGCAGUUAGAGGAAAUCCAAAAUUCUGAAAGUAGUAGGGGCCAAAAGGAAUUAAGGUCACCUGUCAAAAGGAAUGAUACUAAGAGUAAUGCUAGGAAUCUAGACUCACAUGAACCCAGUGAUCACAAAACACAUCCUACUGGUAACAGAGAAAUACACCUAAAGAAUAAAUGUGGUCGGUUCUAUAAAAAUGCAUCAUCUUCCCUGGGAAAGAAACUGAAAACAUACUUCUUUAUUUGUGUUGUUUAAAUCUACAGUAACCAAAAGGGCUAUCU